GGGCUCGUAGCUCAGGGGUUAGAGCGUUCGGUUCACAUCCGAAAGGUCAGAGGUUCAAUUCCUCUCGGGCCCACCA
RNAcentral lists this transfer RNA (76 nucleotides) under bacterium. RNAcentral's name for it is "tRNA-Val". It matches the Rfam family "tRNA". Rfam says of the family: Transfer RNA (tRNA) molecules are approximately 80 nucleotides in length. Their secondary structure includes four short double-helical elements and three loops (D, anti-codon, and T loops). The record is from RNAcentral.